UCAGUCGGUCGGGCAGCCGCGCCUGUCAUGUGCCGAAAGGCGGCAGGUGAGGAAAGUCCGGGCUCCAAGGAAACACGAUGCCGGGUAACGCCCGGCGGGGGCGACCCCAGGGAAAGUGCCACAGAAAGCAAACCGCCCCGUCUUCCGUACCGUUUCGGGUAAACGGCAGGGAUGACGGGGUAAGGGUGAAAGGGUGGGGUAAGAGCCCACCGCGCCGGCAGCAAUGCAGGCGGCACGGUAAACCCCAUCGGGAGCAAAACCGAAUAGGGACGGCGCGUCGGCUCGAAAGGGCAGGCAAUCGGUUUCCGGAUCAGCCGUCCGGGUGGGUUGCACGAGGCGGGUGGCGACAUCCGUCCCAGAUGAAUGGCUGCCGCGCGGGCGCAAGCCCGGCCGUACAGAACCCGGCUUACAGACCGGCUGACAUU
RNAcentral lists this RNase P RNA (425 nucleotides) under Brucella abortus. RNAcentral's name for it is "RNase P RNA component class A". It matches the Rfam family "Bacterial RNase P class A". Rfam says of the family: Ribonuclease P (RNase P) is a ubiquitous endoribonuclease, found in archaea, bacteria and eukarya as well as chloroplasts and mitochondria. RNAcentral also lists the same sequence under 4 other names. The record is from RNAcentral. Lineage: Bacteria; Pseudomonadati; Pseudomonadota; Alphaproteobacteria; Hyphomicrobiales; Brucellaceae.